Molecule: ribosomal RNA, 301 nt
Filed under: uncultured bacterium
Lineage: Bacteria
Description: partial 16S ribosomal RNA
Rfam family: Bacterial small subunit ribosomal RNA
Source: RNAcentral
CAGUCGCCACGGUAAUACAGAGGGUGCGAGCGUUAAUCGGAUUUACUGGGCGUAAAGCGUGCGUAGGCGGCUUUUUAAGUCGGAUGUGAAAUCCCUGAGCUUAACUUAGGAAUUGCAUUCGAUACUGGUUAGCUAGAGUGUGGGAGAGGAUGGUAGAAUUCCAGGUGUAGCGGUGAAAUGCGUAGAGAUCUGGAGGAAUACCGAUGGCGAAGGCAGCCAUCUGGCCUAACACUGACGCUGAGGUACGAAAGCAUGGGGAGCAAACAGGAUUAGAUACCCCGGUAGUCCCUGUCUCUUAUAC